AUUUUUAUUUUUGGGGGGAUUGAAAUGUGAAACCAUGUUUUAUUGUAGUUAACAAAAACUGGAGAUUUGAUAUUGAAAUGUAAUAAUGAAAUGCAUGCAUAUUUACUUCUGUAUCUGCUUAAAAUAGCAAUUCACAUUAACAGACUAGAGAUUUUUAUUACGUGCAGAACUCGCAGUGGAUUUGACAGAUGCUGUUUUGUGGGGGUGGUGGGAUGGGAUUGUUCUGUUGAUGCCCUUUUAAUAGGCACAGUGUGGGACACAUGGUAUAGUUGCCCUUGGCAUGUCCAACCCCCCUGAUCCGGACCACCCUCUAAACUCAUCUCAGUCUCUCACCAAGGGAGUUAGUGGAGAGGAUUAAUACUCUGGAUAUAACCAAAAGACAGAUGUAGGGGAGAAAAGACCACAAGAGGAGAAUCAAUGGGAGUUUGUUUAGACUGAAUGACAAUUUGCAUUUUCAUUAUAUAGAAAAUUCUUCAGACAACAGCUGUUCUUGCUGCUUUGCCUUGGGAAAUUGGUUGGGGUUCAUCUUAAAGCAUUUUGACAAAAGAAAGACUCGACAAAAUCAGUUAUGACUUCUAGCUAAAAAAAAGACAAGUGUCCAGGAGAAUAUUUGAAAGAAACCAGUGCACUUUAGUUGUUCAGCCCUGGAGAUGCAUACAGAUGAGAGAUCCUGCUUCAAAUAGUGGAGUUCACGUUCUGAAGCUACCUCUUUGAAAAUGCAUGAUGUUAUUUCAGAAGCUGAAGAUGAAGUGAGAGCUGUGGUGUUCCUUGGUAAUCAUGCCUGCUGAGGAGGAGGAGGAGAACUCUGCACAACCUGUGUGGCAGUCCAUCCUACUCUUUGGCUGUAAGGGAAUGAUCGAGGGAAUCAUCGUCCUCUUGUUUCUCUGGCUGCUGUUGCAGUCCACUUGCAGAUUCUGCUGAGUGUGGGCUUGGUGGUUCUGUGUUUUUCCCUUAUACUGGGAUGCAUCAUUUGUUGGUUAAAGACCAGACACAAACCACUCAAAGACAAAAAUACUGUGAGGACACCCCCUCCUCCUGAUUCUGCGGAUCAUGCGACUGUGGCUUUGAGUCCUGUCCUUUUAUCUGGAACCACAAUUACCAAAUUACAGUACGAGGCGCAGGAAGGAUCAGUUCAAGACUAUCCACCUGCUUUUGUGAGCUCUACACCAUCAGAUGAAGAGUUGACUGCUGUCUCUGAGGUUAACAAGUCAUGCUUCCCAAUGAGACGACUCAGUUCUCCAACCUCUUCUUUAUACAAGCCUAUGGCCAGUGGCCGCUCCUCUCUCCCCUCUCUCCCAAGACUUAGUCUUCUCUCAAACACCUGGAAUGUUCUGGAACGGCACUGCACUGUGGCUGGAGAUAGUUACUCAUUUAGCGAACACAGAAGGCUCACUAUUCCCAACCCUCGAUCACCCUGUGCCCUUUCUCCACUUCAAACCCAAGGUCUACUACAGGACGAAACUUUAUUUCCUAACUAUGGUUCAAAUUCUUGAAGUGAGACCUCACAUCCCUUCUUGCACUUUACCCUGACCUUCUCUUCAACACAGAACACACUCACUGUAUCCUUAGCGGGUUUAACCGGUGUAAUCCAUCGUCUUGAAGAAGUGACUGUCCAGGCCAGGCUGCCCCCAGUUUGCCCUGGACCUCUGGAUAUAUCUGCUCAAGAUUACAACCUUAGCUCUGGACUCUAUAAAAAGAACUUGGUGAUCAAUGUC
This is a long non-coding RNA of Cyprinus carpio (common carp), 1715 nucleotides long. Lineage: Eukaryota; Metazoa; Chordata; Actinopteri; Cypriniformes; Cyprinidae. The record is from Ensembl.